GACCCCAGGUCAGGCGGGAUUACCCG
This 26-nucleotide ribosomal RNA is filed under the name Ilex integra. RNAcentral's name for it is "partial 26S ribosomal RNA". The record is from RNAcentral. Lineage: Eukaryota; Viridiplantae; Streptophyta; Magnoliopsida; Aquifoliales; Aquifoliaceae. RNAcentral also lists the same sequence under 1 other name.